UUCGCAAUGCCCGAAAGGGUGACGAGGCGACGCCGCGUGCGGGAAGAAGGCCUUCGGGUUGUAAACCGCUGUCGGGAGUUAAGAAAUGUAAGGAUGUUAAUAGCAUCUUUGCUUGACUAAGGCUCCGGAGGAAGCCACGGCUAACUCUGUGCCAGCAGCCGCGGUAAUACAGAGGCGGCAAGCGUUGUUCGGAAUUAUUGGGCGUAAAGAGCACGUAGGCGGCUAUGUAAGUCGGUUGUGAAAGCCUUCCGCUCAACGGGAGAACAGCAUCCGAUACUGCAUGGCUUGAGUGCGGGAGGGGAGAGUGGAACUUCUGGUGGAGCGGUGAAAUGCGUAGAUAUCAGAAGGAACGCCGGCGGCGAAAGCGGCUCUCUGGCCCAUAACUGACGCUGGGUGUGCGAAAGCUAGGGGAGCAAACGGGAUUAGAUACCCCGGUAGUCCUAGCCGUAAACGAUGGGCACUAAGUAGAGGGGUUUU
RNAcentral lists this ribosomal RNA (477 nucleotides) under uncultured Planctomycetales bacterium. Its description in RNAcentral is "bacterial SSU rRNA". It matches the Rfam family "Bacterial small subunit ribosomal RNA", at positions 365 to 832 of the family's 1533-position model. The record is from RNAcentral. Lineage: Bacteria; Pseudomonadati; Planctomycetota; Planctomycetia; Planctomycetales.